GCCCUGGUGGCGGAAUUGGCAGACGCGGCGGACUUAGGAUCCGCUCCCUGUAGGGAUUGGAGGUUCGAGUCCUCUCCAGGGCA
Molecule: transfer RNA, 83 nt
Filed under: Elusimicrobiota bacterium
Lineage: Bacteria; Pseudomonadati; Elusimicrobiota
Description: Elusimicrobia bacterium (groundwater metagenome) tRNA-Leu
Rfam family: tRNA
About the family: Transfer RNA (tRNA) molecules are approximately 80 nucleotides in length. Their secondary structure includes four short double-helical elements and three loops (D, anti-codon, and T loops).
Source: RNAcentral